GACGAACGCUGGCGGCGUGCUUAACACAUGCAAGUCGAACGGAAAGGCCCUGCUUUUGUUGGGUGCUCGAGUGGCGAACGGGUGAGUAACACGUGAGUAACCUGCCCUUUACUUGGGGAUAACUUCAGGAAACGGGGGCUAAUACCGGAUAGAAGCUCCUGCUGCAUGGUGUGUGUUGGAAAGUUUCGGUGGUUGGGGUUGGACUCGCGGCUUAUCCGCUUGUUGGUGGGGUAGUGGAUUAGGCAGGCUUUGACGGGUAGCCAGCCUGAGAGGGUGACCGGCCACAUUGGGCCUCAGGUAGCGCCCAGACUCCUACGGGAGGCAGCAGUGGAAGAUAUAGCACGAUGCGCGGAGGCAUGGUGCAGCGACGCCGCGUCGGGGAUGACGGCCUUCGGGUUGUAACCAGCUUUAGCCUGUAAAGAAGAGUGAGUGACGGUAAUGGGUAAAGAAGCGCCGGCUAACUACGUG
Molecule: ribosomal RNA, 468 nt
Filed under: uncultured bacterium
Lineage: Bacteria
Description: partial 16S ribosomal RNA
Rfam family: Bacterial small subunit ribosomal RNA
Source: RNAcentral